This 73-nucleotide transfer RNA is filed under the name Cordylochernes scorpioides. Its description in RNAcentral is "tRNA-Thr". The record is from RNAcentral. Lineage: Eukaryota; Metazoa; Arthropoda; Arachnida; Pseudoscorpiones; Chernetidae.
AUUCAGGGAUGGGAAUCGAACCCACAGUGUUCCGUUUACCAGGCAGAUGCCAUGUCCACUAGGCUACCCUGGA